This 10126-nucleotide long non-coding RNA is filed under the name Coffea arabica (coffee). RNAcentral's name for it is "long non-coding RNA (CARA_LNC000527)". The record is from RNAcentral. Lineage: Eukaryota; Viridiplantae; Streptophyta; Magnoliopsida; Gentianales; Rubiaceae.
GAAUAUUCCCUUAACACAUUUCCCUACCAUUUUUUUACCUCACAUGCAUUACAUCUCAAGACAAUAUUGGUGUUGUUUUUCUUAGAAAAAAAAAACUCCAAUAACUCAUAAAGCGCAAUCCAGGUGGGAGCUUAGAAACCCUUAACAAAAUCCAAAAUCUCUAUUUACCUAAACAGGAUUAAAGCCUACAAAAGAGAGAAACAUAAGGAACUAUCUAUGCCCUUUUGGCACUAGAGGAAUUGUGAUCUCAUGCAGCCGAUAUUGGGUGCAAGGAGACAAACUGUUUGGGAUCUGACACUAAUGUUAUGCGUAAGUUUCUUGAAUGCUGAUCCGCUUUUUUUUUUUUUUUGGUUCUGGAGUGGAUAAGUUUAUUGAUUUUACUUCCUUUGGGUUGACCUAGGAUGCCCUUUCAUUGAGCAUGUUAUCUGUUUUUCGAGGUUUGAUUAGGUCAAGCUAAAGUUUUGUAUUGUGUAUUUUUUCUGAUGAUCUUGAUUGAUAUAUAAAUCCUAUUUUGGUUUAAUUGUGUUUAGACACCAUGCAGUGUUUGGAGCAAUUUAGCAUUUUCAGCGUACCUCUUGCUUCAAAUGAAAAUUAAGGUAAUAAAGAGGUAACUGCAUAGCCUUCAACUUAGGAAUUAUUUCUUUAUUGUUUAAGUUCGAAAGUCAGUCAGACAGUAUUCAUGAGACUCUAUAGUCCUACAAGGGGCUGGAACAGAUUUUGAUUUCUAGUUCACUUUGUUAUUUCUGGGGCUGGUACUUCAUGUGACUGGUGCCAUGCAGCUCAACUAAACAGAAUUUCCAAUGUCAACGGAAGUAAAUGAGUUUAGAAUUAUUAAUUCUGAUAAGAAAAUAGUAAAAGCUACUUAUUAAUAGAAGCUAAAGAAGAUAAGAAAAUAAAGAAAUGGGGGCAGUGUGACGCCCCGAAAAAAAAUGAGUUUGAGAACCCGGAAAUUUUUUUAAUUUUCUAGGGUUUAUUUUUUAUUAUUUUUUUUAAUCGCCCGCCUUUUCUACAUUUUCUUGAUUAGAAAAAUUCCCCAGAUAAAAUUUAUGAGCAAAGAUAGUUUUAAAAUGAUUUUUCUAGUAUCGGUUAGUUUUUGAGAAAUUAAGAGCGUAUUUUGAACGUGGGACCCGCAAGUGCGGUAAAUGCAUUAUAUUUUUGACAACUUGUUGAAAUUUUGUAUUAAGUGAUAUUAUUUUACAAAGUGUUAAGAUAUUUGUAUUGGAGAGACAAAAAGAUAAGAUUAAAACCCUAAAGGACCAUUUGUCACAAAACCAUUGGACCUUGACUUUUGACCAAGACUUUUCUAACUUUACUAAAACCAAUUUGGACCCAAUUUCUCUCCAUUUUAGCUUGUCUCGGACGAAAUUUUGAGAGAAAAAGAGAGAGAAAAUCCAUCAUCUUGCACUUCAAUUUCUUGUCCAAAUCUUGAGUUCCAACCGAUUAAAUUGCAAAUCACUCCAUAAAACUUGCUAGCUAAGGAAGAUUGAAGCUCUUGGUGGAGUUGUUUUGGAAGAAAAAUCCCUAAGUCAUCACCUUUCUUGAUAUUUGAAGGUAUCAUGUCUAGCCAUCCUUUCUUUGUUCUUGAUUAUGCUAAAUUAGAGACUUGUGAUGGCUAAAGAGAUGGUUUGAUGGAUUAUAUUUUGAGUUGUGGUUGGAUGGAUGAACUUUUAUUAUUUUUGGGGAUUUUUCUGUUUUAAUAUGAGUAUGAUUAUGUGGUUAUGUAUGAUGAUUGGAAAUGAUGUUUAAUGACUCUAGGAGGUGGAAAAAGUGAUUAAUUGCAACCAAUUUCUGUUUUGGACCAAAAAUUGAAAAGUGAGGGUUUUGUGAUGAACAUUCUGUCCGAAUUUUUAGGUCCUAGAUAGAGGCCGAAUUGGCCUUUGCUUAAAACAUGAAAGUUGUAGGGAAUGACAUUUUAGAGCUGCCUACAACAUUUCAGGUCAAUCGGAGUAGUGUGGAAUGAGAUAAGUCGAAAUUACUAUUGCUGUUCUGGGUUACCCAGAAUUGGAAAUCUGCGACUGUAAUUGGUUGUUUUCGCUGGAAUUUAUUCCGAAUUGGUUAUUGAGGUAUUCUGAUGAAAUGUAGCCAUGUUUCGUAGCUUUCAGAUGGUUUUGGAAUUUCUGGAUUUGGACUUGUGUAGGCUGAGUUAUGAUGUUUACGCUAGAAUGCGUUUUGCAAACCUGUUUUCGUGAUUCUGGUAUAGCAUCUUGCAUUUUUGACCUGGUUACACUGGAAACUGAGUUGAGUGACCUUCUACAAUAUUGUACCCCUAUCUCUUAGCUUCGAAACGGUGGGUCUUGCACCUUCAUCCGACAAUCGUAGCGCCUUUGGUACCAUUACCGCAAAAUGACGUCAAAACCUGUUUUUCUGGUUUUGAGCUUAACUUUCAUUUCCGGACUUUUCCCUAGUUUGACUUGUACUAGUACUACUUGGAGUUUGCUGAAUGGCUAUUGGAUGAACUUGUUGUUGUGUGUGUAUCUUUGGGUUUGAAUGAGAAGAAUAAUGAAGCCAUGAUGGCUGGAAAAGUUAGCAAAUUCAGGGGAAGUGCUGUCCGAACUUUGAAGGGACUUGAUUGCAUUGAGUUUGUGAUCUAAGACUUGGAUUUGAGCAAGACAGUGAUAUAUGAUGGUUGGUUCCUGAGCCGUGGAGGUGAGUGACCUCAAACUACUUCUAAAGUUAUUUAUGAACCGUUUCUUACAUUAUUUACUUUUGAACUGUUUCCAAAGUUACUUUUGAAAUGUUUUCUUGCAUAUCAUGUGUGCUGGCAUUUGAGUGUGCCUUGUUUGCUAUAUUUCUUGACUUCAUGACUUGUAUUUUGGUUGAUAACGUGUUAAGCGCUUAUAAUGAUUUCCAAAACGAGUUUUCGAGGCGAGUGUGUACUUUAUCGCACUCGACCUCGAUAAAUGUGAAAUUUUCAAUUGAAAUGUUACUUGCGCAUGAAUGUAAGCCUCUUGGACUGAACUGGCCAUUGCCCCUUGUUACCGGUCGUCUUGAGCCAGAAGCGGACUCGGUCAGGCGAUUAGGAACUUGGGUGAACGUUUGGUAUACUCGAGUAUUACCUAAGUAUGUUGGUGGAGCCUGGCCAAAAGCCAGGGACGGGGUGAAUGAAAUGAAAUGAAUGACCAAAUGAGCGGGAAAAUGUCAGGAGAAUGAAUGUAUCCUUUCAUGAAUGUUACUAUCGUUUUCCAUUGUAAAUGUUUCUUGAAUUAUUGAUAAUCCAUAUUUACUGUUUUGCAAAUGAUGUAGUUGUUUCCGGAUUUAUCAUUUAAUUUAUGACAUCAUUGCUAUAUGACAUCAUUGAAAUGAACUAUUGUGAAACCGAUUUGAUUAAUGAUUUUCUGGUUACUCGCUGAGCUUUUAGCUCACCCCAAAAACUAUUUAUUCCCCUCCACAGGGCUCGUGGCAAAGGAAGGACUUGUAGUACUUGUGCACGUGUAUGGAUGGCCUAAACUUUGUACAAUUUUGGAUUUGGAAUUAUUUUAUGUAUAUUUGGGAUUAGUUUCCGCUGCAUUUGUGACAUGUAAUUAUUGGAGACGGAUGUGUAUUUGUGGACCAGUUGAUGUAUAUUUGAUUUUUAUAUUGUAAUUUAAUUGAGGACUGUAGUGAACGACUGAGUCCCGGCGAGAGCUGGGCAGGCGGCCUGCCGAACCCUCUGGUUCGCCUCAGGGGGAGGUGGGGCUGUCACAGGCAGCAUUAUGUAGAAUUAUUAAUUCUGAUUACGUUUUUGACUUUUGUCUAAUUUAUAAACAAAGAGAACGAUUGGCAACCAUUUACUAGCAUGUAAGAUGACUUAAUUCACAUUAUAUUUACACCAUUCAACAUAAAAGUAGAACUUCAAUAUAAGAAUAAAAUUUCAUGGAAGAUUAUGGUUAUUGGCUUGGCAACACUAACUCUAUAGGAAAAGGGUCAUUUUUCUUGACUAAGAGUUACGGUUUUAGUAUGCUUGUUUAAGGAUAUACUGCUCUACCCUGAGACACUCAAAGCUGGAUUUUCUGCGUGUUUCUCUUUGUGCAUGUGCAUUUGCAUGAUUUUUCACCAUAGUAGUGUUGGAUUAUGAAAUUUUUGAGUCAGCCAGAAGUUGCCCACUAAUUGUAUUCAUAACGUUAACUCCUGCGACGGCUAAUGGGCAGUGCACCAUUGUUGAAUAUGUAAUUAAGUUGACAUCAUUAAGGCACUUCCCGUUUCUAGUGUAGAUCACUAGUGAUGGCUUAUGGACGUAAAAUGAGUCUGAAUACAAUGAAAUCAGUAGUCUUGAGGGCCAAUAUGCAGAUGGAAAAUCAGAAGUUGAAAGUGCAAAUGGAGACGGGCCUACUAUUUUAUCUGCAAAUUUAGGGUUGGACAGGCUUAUUUCUGGUGCUAUCAGGGACAAAUCUCCGUUGAAGUUAUGGAGGACUUAUGGUGAAUUUUGGGAAUCUCAAACUGAAGGCUCUACAGUGGGCGAAGGUUCGGAACAACCUGCAGAUGAUGGUGUCCACAAAAUCAACAAAGAUGCAUCACAUGGUAGGUUUUAUAGGUCACCAAAAGAAUCACUUAAAGCAACAAUAGUUCACCAGGGCAGAAAAUGGCAUGGGCGGGUAUCUUUCCUCUGGACAAUUGUCAAAUGAAUUCUUGGAGGUUGGAGUUGGGUAGCGAAUUACACUUGGAGUUGGUUAGCGUAGAGAUGACCGAAGGUUUCUUGGAUGAGGGGGCAGCGGUAACGAUCGACGAAGAUAGCGAUGCAAGUAAUGACGAAAGGGAUAUUGUUCUGCCUCAUGUGGCUGGAAAUUUAUCUCCAAGAUCGGUGGUAGUACUAGAGCCGACUCUGAAUACUUCCAAUACGGAGUUAAACAUUAAUUCCCUUGACGAUAAUGGCAAGUUGGGUAAGAAGGCAAAGGGAAAUGGAUUACGUCCUCGAAUUCAAUCAGACAGGCAGCUCCGGUCCUCAACUAAUAUCAAUAACUCAUUUCAGGUAUUACACAAUGAUUAAUACGUUAAUGUGGAAUAUUAGAGGGGUGUCAAAAGCGCCCAAUCUGAGAAGAUUGAAAAAUAUUAUUCGCACACAUGGCUGUAGACACCAAAAUUUCAUCAUUUUUUUAUUUUAUUCGUUUAUUUUAUUUAUUUUGCUUCAUCUUACAUUUUGAGGAAAAAAACAUUUUUUAGAAAAUCAAAAAAAGAAGAAAAAUCGAAAAAAAAAAUUUAGCAUUUUUAUUUCAUUUUAGUUGAUUUUGUCUAAAUUUUUGUCUAUUUCCAUUUUGUUAAAGAAAAUCAUUUUAUUAUUAUUAUUAUUAUUGUUGUUGUUAUUAUCGUCGUUAUUAUUGUUAUUCAUUUAUUGGAAAGAAAUUCAGCUUAAAAAAAAAAACGGAAGCCACACGCCCGUGUUUCCUCCUUCAUACGAAGGAUGUAAACUGGAAAAUGAUACAGAAGCAGGGACAUCCCAUCGUUGCUCCAAGGGUUUUAGGGACCUGGGGUUUCCUAUAAAAGAAAAAAGAGCAGCAGGGACAAUGGGUAAGAGGAGUUGGCGGCUGGGCUGAGUAGGAAAAAGCAGAGGAAAGGGUUUGGAGAAAGAAACAGAGAGAGAGCUAGAGGGUAGAAAGCAUAUCUGGGCGGCGGCUGAAGACAUAACCGAGAGAGCUCUAGAUAGGAGGAUUCUGGUGACGGCGAAAAAGAAAAGAGGAGAAUCUGGUUGGCGGCUAAGAGGACAUAUCGGGUGGAUGGCUGAAAAUUUGGAGGAAAAAGAGAGUUUGGAGUGGCGGCUGAGGGUUAGAUAGAAAGCAAGAAAGGAAGAGAGAAAACUGAGGGGAAAACAAGGAAAGUGAGAGAGAUAGCUAGAGGGAAAGAGCGGAAAAGAAAGAGCUUCAAGAGUGGGGAGGAGAGAUAGAGGUGACGGCGGAAGAAGGAAAACCCACGGAGGAACAAAAAAGCUUCGGGCAGUAGCAAGAAAAGAAGACGGCUGAGGAAGCUUUAGGGUUGGGAGAUGGAAUGAGAGAAGAGACAGGAGAGAACUAGAGAGAACCGAGAGUGAAACAGAGAGAGAGGGUUUCGUGGAAGCAAAAGGAAGAAAAGAAGUUGCAGGAGGAGAGCUGAAGCAAGGAAGAAACCAGGAGGCUUCUUUUCCAGAAAUUUCAUAGAAGUCAACUCUGGCUCAUCUUCUUUGGCCUCAGCCUCGUCAAAGAAUCAUCAUCAGGUGAUUGUAAACUCUUGGUUUAAUACGGUUUUUAUAGAGUUUUGGGUCCCCUAUGCAUGAAGAUGUUCUUUUUUUUUCAAGUUUCUGUGAUUGUCAAUGCUUGAUAGUGAUGAUUGUGGAUCUGCUUGUUGAUGUUGUUGUGCUGUUGAUAAACCUGGUAGCGCCCCUUUGUUCAUUCAAAGUGAAUCUGAACCAAAGAAAUGCAAUCGAGAAUCCAUGAACAGAUCAUGUUUCCCAUAUAUGUAAUCCGAUGAACUAAAGGUCGCACCUUUGGUCCUUGUUUGUGUGUACAAGUUGGGUCUGAGAAUUCUUAGGAGUACAAACUACAAGAUUCAAUUUUGAUUGUUGGCUUGGGUUGGAAGUUUGGUACUUGUUUGGAUUUUUGGCAUGAAACCCAGAAAUUGCAGUUUAGGAAACCAGGUUUCUGCUAAGAAGAUGCAUGAACUGUCAAACCUUUUUGCCGCUGGUUUAUUGAGCUUGUUCCAUAGCUUUAUCAUGUUUACUCUUUGAUGUCUCUCUUUCCAUUGUUUUCCUUUUUUCUUCUGUCUUGUGUAUCUUGGGCAUGAGUUUUUGAAAUAAAAAGCAUCGGCUGCAUGAUUUGGCUGGGAUUUCAUUUUCCUUUCGGUUUGUGCUUGGAUAGAACCAAUAUAGGAGAGUUGUAGAAGAAUUAUUGUGAAAGAUUUGUUUGAUUGAAUGAUUGAAUUUCUAUGAUGUUUGUUGUUUAAGAUCAAAACCUCGAAGUUUGUCAUGUUAACAAAGAGAACUUGCGGUAAAAAACUAGAAAAGCUGCAGACGAAACCAGUGAAGAAAAUGGCAUGUUCCGUUCCUAUUUUGAAAUGUUCUUUGCUUGUUCGGAUGUCAAAAUUUUCUGGUUUUGUUGCUGAAGCUUUUAGUUUGAUUAAAGUCUGUGAUUUGUGGUUCAAUUAUGCAUGUCUAUCUUAAGUUUUUGCUUUCCAUCUCUGUCGCGCCCCAUUUUUUGCAAGAAAAAUAAAUAAAUGGUUUGAAAGUGAAUUUUUGAUUUGAAAAGUGAUUUUUGAUUUACAAAGAAAGUGGGUCUAAAUGGGACUUGAAAAUGCGACGAUUUGACCCAAAAUAUAGUUUAAAAAGGGUUUUUGAAAUAAAAAUCGGAGUCGCCACUUGGUAUAGAGUUAAAGUGUACCAAGUCACCUAAAAAUAAAUUUUUUAAAGGAAAAAGAUAGAAAAGAAACCCCUUUUAAAUGACUCCUAGUCUACGUAAACCAAUGAAAAAAGGUUCGGGAGUCACAUUUGACGAAGGGGAAGGCAAUGAUGAAAUCCAAGGCACCCCUUCGACCUAGCCAAGGCUAGUUGCGUGAUUUAGUCAAAGAUUUUCUUGUUUUAACCAAAACAUUUAUCACAUUUGGAUGCACUAUAUGAAUGCAAAACCUAGACCUAGGGGGACAUCGAGGGGCAAAAUUUCUCUUCAAAGUUUGAAUGGUGCCAAUCACAUUAAUAGUGAUGCCCAAUAAUGACUCUUUGGAGAGGUCACGAAUAAUGCUAAUGACGGCAAAUGAGUGGAAUGAAUGUAUGCAAUGUGAAAAUAUGAGUUUGCGUGAAGUGAAAAAGUAAUAAAAAACAAUAGUGUGUAAGUGGAAGUGUGCAAAUGGAUGUGCAAAGUAAGGUGAGUAGAGUGAUAGUAUGAAGUGCGUGUGUGCACGUGAUAGUAUAUAAAGUGUAAGUGGCAGAGUGAAAACGUGCAAAAUAAAAGUUGUGUGAAGUGAAAAUGUGGAAAAAUGGAUAGAAUAUGAAGUAAAAGUGCAUGUGAUAGUGGAUAAAUGAAAUGCAUGAAACCUAGAGGAAUGCAAGCAAGACGGGUACAGGGGACUAAUGUCCGUGACUCAAUUUUCCCUUUAAUAGAGGGAAUACGAGCGUGCUAAGGCUAGAAAAGCCAAACUCCUCCAUAUCCCAUAUCCAAGGGGUGACUCCCUAACCUAUACAAGCAAAUGAGCUAAUCUAAAUGAAAAUGUAAUCCUAAAUGUGUAAGGGAAAGGGAGUGAAGGGUCAUGCAAAAAUGUGAAAACUAAAAGGAAAGAAUGAAUAAAGAUGUAGUGAAGGCAUGCGAGUAUGUACUAGCGAGAGGGGGCCCUAUUGGGUCUAGCAUUGGACUAGCCCUUUACUAACGCUCAUUUACAAGCAUUGGACUUGUAAGAACUCGAGGGGAAGGCCAUGACUAGCAUUGGACUAGCCACGGUAACGUGCAUUCCAUCCAUCAUACACAUAUAUAAGUAACGUGCAUAACUAAAGCAAGUAAACAUGUGAGCACGUAAUUUACAUAACACAUAAGCAUGCAUAUCUAGAUGCCAAAGCCUAAGAAAGCGAUUAAACACAUAGCACCUAAGCAUGCAAAACACAUAAGGCAAUUAAGGCCCUAACUAUUACAUUUUUAGAGGGGAAGGCCUACUACAAUCUAAAAGGGGAAAUGAAAUGAAAUAAAUAGUUAAAAUAAAUCUAACUAUUACAAUUGCGGCACUCAAGUGCCUUCCCAAAUGAUCAAAAUGAACUAAAAUAAAUAUACGAAAUUAAGGCAAGUAAAGCGAACAAAUAAAUAAAUAAAAGGAAAACAUUCAAAAAGGACAUGCAAUUAACACAUAAAUCACAUAGACACAUAGGGUCAAAUAAAGUGAAAAUAAGGGAUAGAGUGUACCUCCCUUGCAAUGGUAAUCAAAUGAAGGAAAAAUUAGCUUCAAAACAAUAAAAAGGUCAAGGUACCACUUUAAUUAAGAAAAAUUAAAAGAAGUGUGCAAAUACAAAGCUCACUUGAUCACAAAGCCCCUAAAAUCAUGACUUAAGUGCAAUUGGAACAAAGCAUAGUAGUUAAUUGAAGCAAACAAGCAAUGAAGUUGUAAAAUUAAAACUACCAAGGACCAAAUUGAGGAGAUUAUUCAAUUGAUUGGGUCAUAGCAGCAUUAGUUAGAAGCCAAGGGGUCAAGAUGCAAUUUUUGAAAUUAUUCAUGCACGGCUUACGAGGAGCUUUCUUCUUCAUUGCUGGUUUUCUACUGCUACUUUAGAACUUAUUCAGACACCCUUUGCAAAUUCGAGCAAAGACCAGCAAACUCAUUAGCCAAAACCCAUUAAAAGCUUGAACACUCUUUGAUUAACACAAACCAACCGCAGGAAACAAAUCGUUGAAGAUCAAACGAGGACCCAAAUGGCAGAACGUGCAGCGACAGAGAAAACAAAACCAGCUUUCUGGUGAAUCCUAGAUGGGUUUAUCACAAGCUAACAAGUUACGGAACUUGCAAAGCAACAAAGGCAAUUAUUCACGAUCAACUUCUGACUUCUGAACGGAAUCCACCCAACCCAUCCAAUGUAUUAAACCCAGCAAGAAUUACAAAGCAAAAGCUGCAUUUUCGGAUUCAUGAAUACCAUUUCUUCUCAUUCAAACAUAGCUAAUGACUGUUGCCUUUUCCUUAACUCGGAUUUGUCGAGAUUCAAGUUCAAGUACAUACAAAAUCUAAACACUCAAGCACAUGAAAUCAAUAUUCACUGAUGUAAAGGGGAUUUUAAACAAAUGACUUGCGGGAACAUGGGGAAGGAAAAAAAAAACAGCAGAGGAUGAACCAACAAAAAAUAAAACACAGCAGCAAAAAAAAACCUCGACGUUUCUGAUCUAAAUCUAACGAUAUCUGACUGGAAAGAGAGGAGAAUAUUACCUUAAUCACGAAACGAAGCGUGAGAUGACCCAGGAAAAGGGCUCAGAUGGAUCUGCCGGAUCUUCGAAGGUGCGCCAGUGGGCUUUGGGGCUGCGGUGAUGGCAGUGGUGAUGGAGUCUCGACUUCAAUGGCUGCUGCAGCUUCCCUCCACAGCAAUUUCCCUUCCCUCGUUGCUUUCUUUUGUCAGUUGAAACCCUCUUUCAAUCUCUUCUUCCUCUCUCGUUUUUCUUUUCUCAGUUUUCCUUUUCUUUUCUCGCCUCCGCCGCCACCCGAAGCUUACUAUCUGGUUUUUCCU